Molecule: transfer RNA, 70 nt
Filed under: Dipodomys ordii (Ord's kangaroo rat)
Lineage: Eukaryota; Metazoa; Chordata; Mammalia; Rodentia; Heteromyidae
Rfam family: tRNA
About the family: Transfer RNA (tRNA) molecules are approximately 80 nucleotides in length. Their secondary structure includes four short double-helical elements and three loops (D, anti-codon, and T loops).
Source: Rfam by way of RNAcentral
GGGCAUGUGGCUUAGUGGUAGAGUGCUUGCCUAGCAUGCAUGAAGCCCUGGGUUCAAUUCCUCAGUACCA